UAGCUCUGGUUUCUCUUAAGUCCUGCAUAAAUCUUUUGCUUUUUAGUAAAGAUUUUUGUGGAGAGGAACAACAAUGAGUUUGAUGUAUUUCUAUGAGCAUUGCUCUGGCGAAGCU
Hemibagrus wyckioides is the source of this 115-nucleotide small nuclear RNA. RefSeq annotates it as U5 spliceosomal RNA. The transcript has a single exon. The record is from RefSeq and is a predicted model, not a curated record. NCBI's taxonomy places the organism in Eukaryota, Metazoa, Chordata, Actinopteri, Siluriformes, Bagridae.